GCCGGCUUAGCUCAUCGGGUAGAGCGCUUGACUUGUAAUCAUGAGGUGGCGGGUUCGAGUCCUGCAGCCGGCA
This 73-nucleotide transfer RNA is filed under the name Candidatus Paraburkholderia calva. Its description in RNAcentral is "tRNA-Thr". It matches the Rfam family "tRNA". Rfam says of the family: Transfer RNA (tRNA) molecules are approximately 80 nucleotides in length. Their secondary structure includes four short double-helical elements and three loops (D, anti-codon, and T loops). The record is from RNAcentral. Lineage: Bacteria; Pseudomonadati; Pseudomonadota; Betaproteobacteria; Burkholderiales; Burkholderiaceae.